AAGUCGUAACAAGGUUUCCGUAGGUGAACCUGCGGAAGGAUCAUUCACAAUGAGUGUUUAAUGGCACUCUAAAUCCAUUACCCACCUUGUGUGCAAUGUCGAGGGGGAGAGGAGGGAACAUUCUUUUCUUCUCCCCUUUUCAUACAUACCAAAAAACUUUUAAUUAUCAGUCUACAUCUAUUUAGAGUAUAAAAAACUCGAAAUACAACUUUCAACAACGGAUCUCUUGGAUCUC
RNAcentral lists this unclassified non-coding RNA (235 nucleotides) under fungal sp. Its description in RNAcentral is "partial internal transcribed spacer region". The stretch from base 1 to 46 matches the Rfam family "Eukaryotic small subunit ribosomal RNA", at positions 1786 to 1831 of the family's 1831-position model. Lineage: Eukaryota; Fungi. The record is from RNAcentral.